UACGGGGGGGGCAAGCGUUGUUCGGAAUUACUGGGCGUAAAGGGCUCGUAGGUGGCCAACUAAGUCGGACGUGAAAUCCCUCAGCUUAACCGGGGAACUGCGUCCGAUACUGGUUGGCUUGAGUUUGGGAGAGGGAUGCGGAAUUCCAGGUGUAGCGGUGAAAUGCGUAGAUAUCUGGAGGAACACCGGUGGCGAAGGCGGCAUCCUGGACCGGCAUUGACGCUGAGGCGCGAAAGCCAGGGGAGCAAACGGG
This 253-nucleotide ribosomal RNA is filed under the name uncultured bacterium. Its description in RNAcentral is "partial 16S ribosomal RNA". It matches the Rfam family "Bacterial small subunit ribosomal RNA", at positions 524 to 776 of the family's 1533-position model. The record is from RNAcentral.